Molecule: ribosomal RNA, 870 nt
Filed under: uncultured archaeon
Lineage: Archaea
Description: bacterial SSU rRNA
Rfam family: Archaeal small subunit ribosomal RNA
Source: RNAcentral
CUGGUUGAUCCUGCCAGACCCGACUGCUAUCGGAUUGGGACUAAGCCAUGCGAGUCAACUCCGCAAGGGGUGGCGCACGGCUCAGUAACACGUAGUCAACCUACCCUGGGGACGGGGAUAACCUCGGGAAACUGAGGCUAAACCCCGAUGGGCCAUGGCUCCUGGAAUGGGCUAUGGCUGAAAUCUACAUGGCCCCAGGAUGGGACUGCGGCCGAUCAGGUUGUUGGUGGGGUAAUGGCCCACCAAGCCUAUAACCGGUGCGGGCUCUGAGAGGAGGAGCCCGGAGAUGGGCACUGAGACAAGGGCCCAGGUCCUAUGGGGCGCAGCAGGCGCGAAACCUCCGCAAUGGGCGAAAGCCCGACGGGGUCAGUCCGAGUGGUUCCCGCUGAGGGAACCUUUUGCCAGCUGUAAACAGGCUGGCGAAUAAGGGGUGGGCAAGUUUGGUGUCAGCCGCCGCGGUAAUACCAGCACCCCGAGUGGUCGGGACGAUUAUUGGGCCUAAAGCAUCCGUAGCCGGCCCAGUAAGUCCUCCGUUAAAUCCAACGGCUCAACCGUUGGGCUGCGGGGGACACUGCUGGGCUAGGGGACGGGAGAGGCGAGGGGUAUUCCCGGGGUAGGGGUAAAAUCCACUGAUCCCGGGAGGACCACCAGUGGCGAAGGCGCCUCGCUAGAACGUGCCCGACGGUGAGGGAUGAAAGCUGGGGGAGCGAACCGGAUUAGAUACCCGGGUAGUCCCAGCCGUAAACGAUGUAGGCUCGGUGUUGGGCUGCCUCAGUGGCAGCCCAGUGCCGCAGGGAAGCCGUUAAGCCUACCGCCUGGGGAGUACGGCCGCAAGGCUGAAACUUAAAGGAAUUGGCGGGGGAGCACCAC